Molecule: ribosomal RNA, 484 nt
Filed under: uncultured bacterium
Lineage: Bacteria
Description: partial 16S ribosomal RNA
Rfam family: Bacterial small subunit ribosomal RNA
Source: RNAcentral
AUUGAACGCUGGCGGCAUGCUUUACACAUGCAAGUCGAACGGCAGCGCGGGCUUCUGCCUGGCGGCGAGUGGCGAACGGGUGAGUAAUGCAUCGGAACGUGCCCAGUAGUUGGGGAUAGCCCGGCUAAAGCCGGAUUAAUACCGCAUACGACCUGAUGGUGAAAGCGGGGGAUCGAAAGGCCUCGCGCGAUUUGAUGGGCCGAUGUCGGAUUAGCUAGUUGGUGGGGUAAAGGCUUACCAAGGCGACGAUCCGUAGCUGGGCUGAGAGGACGACCAGCCACACUGGGACUGAGACACGGCCCAGACUCCUACGGGAGGCAGCAGUGGGGAAUUUUGGACAAUGGGGGCAACCCUGAUCCAGCCAUGCCGCGUGCGGGAAGAAGGCCUUCGGGUUGUAAACCGCUUUUGUUCGGGAAGAAAUCCUCUGGGCUAAUACCCCGGGGGGAUGACGGUACCGGAAGAAUAAGCACCGGCUAACUACGUG